This 253-nucleotide ribosomal RNA is filed under the name uncultured bacterium. RNAcentral describes it as "partial 16S ribosomal RNA". It matches the Rfam family "Bacterial small subunit ribosomal RNA", at positions 524 to 776 of the family's 1533-position model. The record is from RNAcentral.
UACGGGGGGGGCAAGCGUUGUUCGGAAUUACUGGGCGUAAAGGGUUCGUAGGUGGCCAACUAAGUCAGACGUGAAAUCCCUCAGCUUAACUGGGGAACUGCGUCUGAGACUGGAUGGCUUGAGUGCAGGAGAGGAACGCGGAAUUCCAGGUGUAGCGGUGAAAUGCGUAGAUAUCUGGAGGAACACCGGUGGCGAAGGCAAUCCCCUGGGCCUGCACUGACGCUCAUGCACGAAAGCGUGGGGAGCAAACAGG